RNAcentral lists this ribosomal RNA (663 nucleotides) under Triticum aestivum (bread wheat). Its description in RNAcentral is "partial small subunit ribosomal RNA". Lineage: Eukaryota; Viridiplantae; Streptophyta; Magnoliopsida; Poales; Poaceae. The record is from RNAcentral.
AUGGCGGCCUCACCGGCAACAUCGUCCGCGGCCGCGAGGGCCUCCACCUUCGCACGGCUAUCCAACGCGCCCCUGCGUGCGCCCAGAGCCGCCGCCGUCUCGUUCCCGUCUCCCAACUCCGCUCGUCCGGCCGCGCUGGUCGCGGAUGCUCGGGCUUCCCGGCUCCCCGUCGUGGCCGCAGCCGCCGGAGGGCACCAGCGGCUGAUGGGGUCGCUGACCAACACCGAGGGGCUCAGGUUCGGCGUGGUUGUGGCACGGUUCAAUGAGAUAGUGACCAACUUGCUUCUGCAGGGGGCUUUAGAGGCAUUCGAGCGAUACUCUGUCAAAGCAGAAAAUAUCACCGUUGUUAGUGUUCCUGGCAGCUUUGAAAUUCCUGUUGCAGCACAGAAGCUUGGGAAGUCUGGAAAGUAUGAUGCAAUUUUGUGCAUUGGGGCUGUGAUUAGAGGUGACACAACCCACUAUGAUGCUGUUGCAAACUCUGCUGCUUCAGGUGUACUCAAUGCUGGAUUGUCUGCUGGCGUCCCCUGCGUAUUUGGUGUUCUGACCUGUGAUGACAUGGACCAGGCGCUAAAUCGUGCUGGUGGCAAGGCUGGAAACAAAGGUGCUGAGACCGCCAUAACUGCUAUUGAGAUGGCCUCGCUGUUUCGGCAUCACUUAGCCUGA